GACGAACGCUGGCGGCGUGCUUAACACAUGCAAGUCGAACGGAAAGGCCCUGCUUUUGUGGGGUGCUCGAGUGGCGAACGGGUGAGUAACACGUGAGUAACCUGCCCUUGACUUUGGGAUAACUUCAGGAAACUGGGGCUAAUACCGGAUAGGAGCUCCUGCUGCAUGGUGGGGGUUGGAAAGUUUCGGCGGUUGGGGCUGGACUCGCGGCUUAUCAGCUUGUUGGUGGGGUAGUGGCUUACCAAGGCUUUGACGGGUCGCCGGCCUGAGAGGGUGACCGGCCACAUUGGGACUGAGAGACGGCCCAGACUCCUACGGGGGGCAGCAGUCGGGAAUAUUGCACAAUGGGCGGAAGCCUGAUGAAGAGACGCCGCGGGCGGGAUGACGGCCUUCGGGUUGUAAACCGCUUUCGCCUGUGACGAAGCGUGAGUGACGGUAAUGGGUAAAGAAGCACCGGCUAACUACGUG
This 468-nucleotide ribosomal RNA is filed under the name uncultured bacterium. RNAcentral's name for it is "partial 16S ribosomal RNA". It matches the Rfam family "Bacterial small subunit ribosomal RNA", at positions 28 to 507 of the family's 1533-position model. The record is from RNAcentral.